Long non-coding RNA from Penaeus monodon (black tiger shrimp), 396 nucleotides. RefSeq lists it as uncharacterized. The transcript is spliced from 8 exons. The record is from RefSeq and is a predicted model, not a curated record. NCBI's taxonomy places the organism in Eukaryota, Metazoa, Arthropoda, Malacostraca, Decapoda, Penaeidae.
AAUAGAUUUUCAUUUUCAGGAAAAUGAGGGAAAAGACAGACCAUCAAAAAUACAAGUUCUUGGAGUUAGUCUACAUGCUUAAGCUGAUAUUUUCAAAAAAUAAGGAAAAAACAGAUCAGAUGAAUUUCUUGUUCGUUACUCUAUACGCGUAAAUUAUUAAAAAACAAAGGAAAAAACAGAACUUCAAAAUAUUAAUUCAUCCAAAUUUGGAGGCUCUUCUACAAACAUAUACCUAAAUUAUUGGAAAAAAAGAAAAGAAAAUUGUACAUCAAAUAGCUGCACAAGUAAAGAUGCAUUUUAUGCAUACAUCAUGUGUCCAUUCUGAUUUGAUGUGAAUAGAUGCUUGGAAUUGGUGGUUAAUCUGUGUGCUUAAGCUGGAAUUAUCAAAAUGCAAGG